This 253-nucleotide ribosomal RNA is filed under the name uncultured bacterium. RNAcentral describes it as "partial 16S ribosomal RNA". It matches the Rfam family "Bacterial small subunit ribosomal RNA", at positions 524 to 776 of the family's 1533-position model. The record is from RNAcentral.
UACGUAGGGUGCGAGCGUUGUCCGGAAUUAUUGGGCGUAAAGCGCGCGCAGGCGGCCUCGCGCGCCCGACGUGAAAGCCCCCGGCUUAACCGGGGAGGGUCGUUGGGGACGGCGGGGCUUGAGGGCGGGAGAGGUCGGUGGAAUUCCCGGUGUAGUGGUGAAAUGCGUAGAGAUCGGGAGGAACACCUGUGGCGAAGGCAGCUCGCUGGGACGAUACUGACGCUAAGGCUCGAAAGCGUGGGGAGCGAACAGG